RNAcentral lists this ribosomal RNA (425 nucleotides) under uncultured bacterium. Its description in RNAcentral is "partial 16S ribosomal RNA". It matches the Rfam family "Bacterial small subunit ribosomal RNA", at positions 354 to 796 of the family's 1533-position model. The record is from RNAcentral.
GUGGGGAAUCUUGCGCAAUGGGCGAAAGCCUGACGCAGCCAUGUCGCGUGAAUGAUGAAGGUCUUAGGAUUGUAAAAUUCUUUCACCGGGGACGAUAAUGACGGUACCCGGAGAAGAAGCUCCGGCUAACUUCGUGCCAGCAGCCGCGGUAAUACGAAGGGGGCUAGCGUUGCUCGGAAUUACUGGGCGUAAAGGGCGCGUAGGCGGACAGCUUAGUCAGAGGUGAAAGCCCAGGGCUCAACCUUGGAAUUGCCUUUGAUACUGGCUGUUUUGAGUUUGGGAGAGGUGAGUGGAACUCCGAGUGUAGAGGUGAAAUUCGUAGAUAUUCGGAAGAACACCAGUGGCGAAGGCGACUCACUGGCCCAAUACUGACGCUGAGGCGCGAAAGCGUGGGGAGCAAACAGGAUUAGAUACCCGAGUAGUCC